AGGACGAACGCUGGCGGCGUGCUUAACACAUGCAAGUCGAGCGGAAAGGCCCUUCGGGGUACUCGGGCGGCGAACGGGUGAGUAACACGUGAGUAACCUGCCCCAUGCUUUGGGAUAACCCUCGGAAACGGGGGCUAAUACCGAAUAUUCACUGUCUGCCGCAUGGUGGAGGGUGGAAAGUUUUUCGGCGUGGGAUGGGCUCGCGGCCUAUCAGCUUGUUGGUGGGGUAAUGGCCUACCAAGGCGAGGACGGGUAG
Molecule: ribosomal RNA, 256 nt
Filed under: uncultured bacterium
Lineage: Bacteria
Description: partial small subunit ribosomal RNA
Rfam family: Bacterial small subunit ribosomal RNA
Source: RNAcentral